GGACAACUUGGGUGCGCUUGGCUGGAGGCUGAGCCCUGGUGAGAUCUCAGAGCUGGAAGCCGCGGCGAUGGAGUGCCCCAAGAAAAUGGUUCAGAACAUAUUUCAGACCACAUGAGCAAACUGUAGUACUCCGUAUUAAACAUGACAGCAACCUGAAAUAAGAGCAGAGCAGGUUGCUUUCUCUUCUGUGCCUAGUUCAGAGUUCGGUUCAGAACUUCAGAGUUAUACCAUUGUAUAAAUCCUGACUAGAUGUCUAGAGCUGUAUGCUGAUUGCCUGUUGAGAUUUAAUUAACCCACGUGUUAAUUAAGAAGAAUCUUCACU
Molecule: small RNA, 322 nt
Filed under: Hordeum vulgare subsp. vulgare (domesticated barley)
Lineage: Eukaryota; Viridiplantae; Streptophyta; Magnoliopsida; Poales; Poaceae
Source: RNAcentral